RNAcentral lists this ribosomal RNA (486 nucleotides) under uncultured bacterium. Its description in RNAcentral is "bacterial SSU rRNA". It matches the Rfam family "Bacterial small subunit ribosomal RNA", at positions 29 to 507 of the family's 1533-position model. The record is from RNAcentral.
AACGAACGCUGGCGGCAGGCCUAACACAUGCAAGUCGAGCGGCAGCACGGGAGCUUGCUCCUGGUGGCGGGCGGCGGACGGGUGAGUAAUGCCUAGGAAUCUGCCUGUUAGUGGGGGAUAACUCGGGGAAACUCGAGCUAAUACCGCAUACGUCCUACGGGAGAAAGUGGGGGACCUUCGGGCCUCACGCUAACAGAUGAGCCUAGGUCGGAUUAGCUAGUUGGUGGGGUAAAGGCCUACCAAGGCGACGAUCCGUAGCUGGUCUGAGAGGAUGAUCAGCCACACUGGAACUGAGGCACGGUCCAGACUCCUACGGGAGGCAGCAGUGGGGAAUAUUGGACAAUGGGCGCAAGCCUGAUCCAGCCAUGCCGCGUGUGUGAAGAAGGUCUUCGGAUUGUAAAGCACUUUAAGUUGGGAGGAAGGGCUCUUGGCUAAUACCCGAGGGUUUUGACGUUACCAACAGAAUAAGCACCGGCUAACUUCGUG